This 1044-nucleotide unclassified non-coding RNA is filed under the name leaf metagenome. Its description in RNAcentral is "partial contains internal transcribed spacer 1, 5.8S ribosomal RNA, internal transcribed spacer 2, and large subunit ribosomal RNA". The stretch from base 478 to 1044 matches the Rfam family "Eukaryotic large subunit ribosomal RNA", at positions 1 to 579 of the family's 3401-position model. The record is from RNAcentral.
GCUCUACAACCCUUUGUGAACAUACCUAUAACUGUUGCUUCGGCGGGUAGGGUCUCCGUGACCCUCCCGGCCUCCCGCCCCCGGGCGGGUCGGCGCCCGCCGGAGGAUAACCAAACUCUGAUUUAACGACGUUUCUUCUGAGUGGUACAAGCAAAUAAUCAAAACUUUUAACAACGGAUCUCUUGGUUCUGGCAUCGAUGAAGAACGCAGCGAAAUGCGAUAAGUAAUGUGAAUUGCAGAAUUCAGUGAAUCAUCGAAUCUUUGAACGCACAUUGCGCCCGCCAGCAUUCUGGCGGGCAUGCCUGUUCGAGCGUCAUUUCAACCCUCAAGCUCUGCUUGGUGUUGGGGCCCUACAGCUGAUGUAGGCCCUCAAAGGUAGUGGCGGACCCUCCCGGAGCCUCCUUUGCGUAGUAACUUUACGUCUCGCACUGGGAUCCGGAGGGACUCUUGCCGUAAAACCCCCAAUUUUCCAAAGGUUGACCUCGGAUCAGGUAGGAAUACCCGCUGAACUUAAGCAUAUCAAUAAGCGGAGGAAAAGAAACCAACAGGGAUUGCCUCAGUAACGGCGAGUGAAGCGGCAACAGCUCAAAUUUGAAAUCUGGCCCUAGGCCCGAGUUGUAAUUUGCAGAGGAUGCUUUUGGUGCGGUGCCUUCCAAGUUCCCUAGAACGGGACGCCAGAGAGGGUGAGAGCCCCGUACAGUUGGACACCAAGCCUUUGUAAAGCUCCUUCGACGAGUCGAGUAGUUUGGGAAUGCUGCUCAAAAUGGGAGGUAUAUUUCUUCUAAAGCUAAAUACCGGCCAGAGACCGAUAGCGCACAAGUAGAGUGAUCGAAAGAUGAAAAGCACUUUGAAAAGAGGGUUAAACAGCACGUGAAAUUGUUAAAAGGGAAGCGCUUGUGACCAGACUUGCGUCCGGUGAAUCACCCAGCUCUCGCGGCUGGGGCACUUCGCCGGCUCAGGCCAGCAUCAGCUCGCUGUCGGGGACAAAAGCUUCAGGAACGUAGCUCUCUUCGGGGAGUGUUAUAGCCUGUUGCAUAAUACCCU